This 443-nucleotide ribosomal RNA is filed under the name uncultured bacterium. RNAcentral describes it as "partial 16S ribosomal RNA". It matches the Rfam family "Bacterial small subunit ribosomal RNA", at positions 338 to 795 of the family's 1533-position model. The record is from RNAcentral.
CCUACGGGAGGCAGCAGUGGGGAAUAUUGGGCAAUGGGCGCAAGCCUGACCCAGCAACGCCGCGUGAAGGAAGAAGGCCCUCGGGUUGUAAACUUCUUUUGUCAGGGACGAAACAAAUGACGGUACCUGACGAAUAAGCCACGGCUAACUACGUGCCAGCAGCCGCGGUAAUACGUAGGUGGCAAGCGUUAUCCGGAUUUACUGUGUGUAAAGGGCGUGGAGGCGGGAGAGCAAGUCAGAUGUGAAAUUCCAGGGCUCAACCCUGGUACUGCAUUUGAAACUGUUUUUCUUGAGUGAUGGAGAGGCAGGUGGAAUUACGUGUGUAGCGGUGAAAUGCGUAGAUAUACGGAGGAAAACCAGUGGCGAAGGCGGCCUGCUGGACAUUAACUGACGCUGAGGCGCGAAAGCGUGGGGAGCAAACAGGAUUAGAUACCCCGGUAGUC